RNAcentral lists this non-coding RNA (972 nucleotides) under Dryobates cathpharius cathpharius. RNAcentral describes it as "Dendrocopos cathpharius cathpharius partial 12S ribosomal RNA". It matches the Rfam family "Bacterial small subunit ribosomal RNA". Lineage: Eukaryota; Metazoa; Chordata; Aves; Piciformes; Picidae. The record is from RNAcentral.
AAAAGACUUAGUCCUAACCUUACCAUUAAUUUUUGCCAGACCUAUACAUGCAAGUAUCUGCGCCCCAGUGUAAAUGCCCCUAACCCCCUGCCAGGAUAAGAGGAGCAGGUAUCAGGCACACCCCUCCCUGUAGCCCAAGACACCUUGCUUAGCCACACCCCCACGGGUAUUCAGCAGUAACUGACAUUAAGCAAUGAGCGUAAGCUCGACUUAGUCAUGGCAACCCUAGGGUCGGUAAAUCUUGUGCCAGCCACCGCGGUCAUACAAGAAACCCAAAUUAAUCGUUCACGGCGUAAAGAGUGACUCAACACUAUCGCCCCACCUGAGGCCAAAACAUGUCUGAGCUGUCAUAAGCCCAAGACACACCUAAGCCCCCACCCUCCUCAACUCCAGCGAUCAACCGAUCUCACGAAAGCCAGGGGACAAACUGGGAUUAGAUACCCCACUAUGCCUGGCCGUAAAUUCAAAUGCUUUUCCCUCACCCAAGCAUUCGCCAGGGAAUUACGAGCACAAACGCUUAAAACCCUAAGGACUUGGCGGUGUCCCAAACCCACCUAGAGGAGCCUGUUCUAUAAUCGAUAACCCACGCUACACCCAACCCCCCCUUGCCCACAAACAGCCUACAUACCGCCGUCGCCAGCCCACCUCACCUGAGAGCCCAACAGUGAGCACAACAGCCCUACCCGCUAAAAAGACAGGUCAAGGUAUAGCCCAUGAGGGGGAAAGAAAUGGGCUACAUUUUCUGACCCAGAAAAUCAACGAAAGAGGACCUGAAAACCUGUCCUCAGAACGCGGAUUUAGCAGUAAGACAUGACCAUCACGCUUGUCUUAAACCGGCCCUGGGACACGUACAUACCGCCCGUCACCCUCCUCACAAGCAACCCCCCCCCCCCCCACCAUUAAACCCACAACCCGCCAAAGAUGAGGUAAGUCGUAACAAGGUAAGUGUACCGGAAGGUGCACUUAGCACAU